RNAcentral lists this long non-coding RNA (209 nucleotides) under Gallus gallus (chicken). Lineage: Eukaryota; Metazoa; Chordata; Aves; Galliformes; Phasianidae. The record is from RNAcentral.
GUAAGUGGUCGCCUGCUUGUUGAGGUCGGCCACCUGCUCCUGGUUCAGCUCAUCCACGUCCACCUCCACGUCGAUAUCGGGGAUCACUUCGUCUUCAUCCGUGUUGCUCUCCUCCUCGGAGUCCUCCACGUCGCCGCGGUUCUCCGCUGCGUUCUCCAACUCGGCCACAGUGCUGUCCUCGUAGGUGUAACCGAUGGACGCCUUCUUCU